Molecule: long non-coding RNA, 1131 nt
Organism: Micropterus dolomieu (smallmouth bass)
Lineage: Eukaryota; Metazoa; Chordata; Actinopteri; Centrarchiformes; Centrarchidae
Exons: 4
Source: RefSeq, a predicted model, not a curated record
CUGAAGCAUGCGGACCUGUGAACCAUGAAAGGGUCUUUUGUGUUGUUCCACGGGGAGGAGGGGGGGGGCACCACUCAAAUCACUGCGGUGACCCUGGGAAUCAGGACUUUGAUUAGAUCUCAGCGAGGGACUGAAGUUACAGAACAAAGGUUGCGAUUCAUUCAAGGAGGAAAGUAAUUGGAUUCUGGAGACUUGGCGUCGUGAAGGAAAAUCUGUUGACGAUGAAUUUCAUCAUUUAAAAACGGCUCAAGAGAAAAAUAAAUAACGAUUCUUUAAAUUGUUGGUUCUGUCCAGGCGAGGUGGGGCAGGUGGAACCGGCAGGAGAGGCUGCCUCCAGGUGCACAGGUAAGACCGGCAGGACAGCUCACUCUGAAUCACACUUCUCCUCAGGUGAGGCAACCCUGAUGACGUCACACUGACAUCACCAGGGUUAUGGUUAAAUGAUCGAUUAGCUCUCCUCGUGACGCGUUAACCCUUUAAAACCAGCCUCCUGUAGUCCCGAAACCCUGUCCCUGGUCCCACAGAGGGGGGGUCUGUUACUGAUCCAGUCCAACUAUACUCCCUGUAGUAAUAAUAAUAAUAAUGUGUGGAUUGGUCACGUGCCGCGAUGUGGGAGCCGCCUGGUCAGCUGGGUCAUGCUGUCACCAUGGAAAUGAGACGGAACCGGGCUGUGUUAACGUAAAGCAGCCUUUCGGACCGUUAAAGCAUUAUUACGCGUUUAAAUACUGCGUCAGGUGCGAGUUUCAGCCCUUUAGAUCUCCACUCCUCUGUUAUUCCUCACUGGAGCGUUUGUACAUUAACCUCCAGCAGAGAAGGACGUGCUGAUGAUGUGUACUGCAGACCUGCUUCUUCUCUCGGCAGUUUCAACCGCUGCCGCCCCCCGCAGGAUCAAACAUACAUCACCAGUCCACUGGUUCAUAUUCUGGAUAUACAUUUGUCUACUGAGAGAAAUGUAAAACCAGAUUAUUCAUAUUCUGAAGCUGAAGUCCUUCAGUUGUGUCCGUUAGAUGGAAGGUGAGUGAACCUGAAGGUGUCCUGGAGUCUGCAGAUCCUCACAGUAAUAGAGAUCUGCACACAGCACCUCUGACUGCUGGAUUUCUUUAUCUGCUGGCGUUAGAAGCUCAAUCGGUC